RNAcentral lists this ribosomal RNA (497 nucleotides) under uncultured bacterium. Its description in RNAcentral is "partial 16S ribosomal RNA". It matches the Rfam family "Bacterial small subunit ribosomal RNA", at positions 30 to 523 of the family's 1533-position model. The record is from RNAcentral.
AUUGAACGCUGGCGGCAUGCUUUACACAUGCAAGUCGAACGGUAACAGGUCUUCGGAUGCUGACGGGUGGCGAACGGGUGAGUAAUGCAUCGGAACGUGCCCAGUCGUGGGGGAUAACGCAGCGAAAGCUGCGCUAAUACCGCAUACGAUCUAUGGAUGAAAGCGGGGGACCGUAAGGCCUCGCGCGAUUGGAGCGGCCGAUGUCAGAUUAGGUAGUUGGUGGGGUAAAGGCCCACCAAGCCAACGAUCUGUAGCUGGUCUGAGAGGACGACAGCCACACUGGGAGUGAGACACGGCCCAGACUCCUACGGGAGGCAGCAGUGGGGAAUUUUGGACAAUGGGCGCAAGCCUGAUCCAGCAAUGCCGCGUGCAGGAAGAAGUCCUUCGGGUUGUAAACUGCUUUUGUACGGAACGAAACGGCUCUCUCUAAUACAGAGGGCUAAUGACGGUACCGUAAGAAUAAGCACCGGCUAACUACGUGCCAGCCGCCGCCGUAA